Halobacillus karajensis is the source of this 144-nucleotide regulatory RNA element. It matches the Rfam family "Ribosomal protein L10 leader". From Rfam's summary of the family: This family is a putative r-protein leader autoregulatory structure found in B. subtilis and other low-GC Gram-positive bacteria. The record is from Rfam. NCBI's taxonomy places the organism in Bacteria, Bacillati, Bacillota, Bacilli, Caryophanales, Bacillaceae.
AUAAAUGAAUACGUUAUACCGUAGACAGCAGGUGCGGUUUCCGCUUAAUUUCCUGCCGAGGUGUGUGAUAUAAAUAGAGCAGCGCCAUCUGCCCUGCUCUAUAAACACCUCCAUGUCUUUGUGGGGGUGUUUUUUUAUGAGUAA